This 409-nucleotide ribosomal RNA is filed under the name uncultured bacterium. Its description in RNAcentral is "bacterial SSU rRNA". It matches the Rfam family "Bacterial small subunit ribosomal RNA", at positions 506 to 921 of the family's 1533-position model. The record is from RNAcentral.
GGCCAGCAGCCGCGGUAAUACAGAGGGAGCAAGCGUUAUCCGGAAUAAUUGGGCGUAAAGCGUCUGUAGGUGGUUUAAAAAGUCUACUGUCAAAUCCCAGGGCUCAACCUUGGUCAGGCAGUGGAGUACUUUUAGACUUGAGUGUGGUAGAGGUAGAGGGAAUCCCUAGCGUAACAGUGAAAUGUGUAGAUUUUAGGGAGAACACCAGCGGCGAAGGCGCUCUACUGGGCCAAUACUGACACUGAGAGACGAAAGCUACGGGAGAGAAAAGGAUUAGAUACCCUUGUAUUCGUAGCCGUAAACGAUGGAAACUAAGUGCUGCCAAAAGCAGUGCUGUAGCUAACGCGUUAAGUUUCCCGCCUGGGGAGUAUGCUCGCAAGAGUGAAACUUAAAGGAAUUGGCGGGGGAC